GCCCGGCUAGCUCAGUCGGUAGAGCAUGAGGCUCUUAAUGUCAGGGUCGUGGGUUCGAGCCCCACGUUGGGUC
RNAcentral lists this transfer RNA (73 nucleotides) under Danio rerio (zebrafish). It matches the Rfam family "tRNA". From Rfam's summary of the family: Transfer RNA (tRNA) molecules are approximately 80 nucleotides in length. Their secondary structure includes four short double-helical elements and three loops (D, anti-codon, and T loops). Lineage: Eukaryota; Metazoa; Chordata; Actinopteri; Cypriniformes; Danionidae. The record is from Rfam by way of RNAcentral.